Molecule: ribosomal RNA, 468 nt
Filed under: uncultured bacterium
Lineage: Bacteria
Description: partial 16S ribosomal RNA
Rfam family: Bacterial small subunit ribosomal RNA
Source: RNAcentral
GACGAACGCUGGCGGCGUGCUUAACACAUGCAAGUCGAACGGAAAGGCCCUGCUUUUGUGGGGUGCUCGAGUGGCGAACGGGUGAGUAACACGUGAGUAACCUGCCCUUGACUUUGGGAUAACUUCAGGAAACUGGGGCUAAUACCGGAUAGGAGCUCCUGCUGCAUGGUGGGGGUUGGAAAGUUUCGGCGGUUGGGGAUGGACUCGCGGCUUAUCAGCUUGUUGGUGGGGUAGUGGCUUACCAAGGCUUUGACGGGUAGCCGGCCUGAGAGGGUGACCGGCCACAUUGGGCCUGAGAUACGGCGCAGACUGCUACGGGAGGCAGCAGGGGAGAAUCUUGCACAAUGGGCGGAAGCCUGAGGCAGCAACGCCGCGUGCGGGAUGACGGCCUUCGGGUGGUAAACCGCUUUCGCCGGUGACGAAGCGUGAGUGACGGUAAUGGGUAAAGAAGCACCGGCUAACUACGUG